Molecule: ribosomal RNA, 292 nt
Filed under: uncultured bacterium
Lineage: Bacteria
Description: partial 16S ribosomal RNA
Rfam family: Archaeal small subunit ribosomal RNA
Source: RNAcentral
GUGCAGCCGCCGCGGUAAUACCGGCAGCACGAGUGAUGGCCGAUUUUAUUGGGCCUAAAGCGUCCGUAGCCGGCCAGACAAGCCCGUUGGGAAAUCCACGCGCUCAACGCGUGGGCGUCCAGCGGAAACUAUCUGGCUUGGGGCCGGAAGACUCGAGGGGUACGUCCGGGGUAGGAGUGAAAUCCCGUAAUCCUGGACGGACCACCGGUGGCGAAAGCGCCUCGAGAAGACGGACCCGACGGUGAGGGACGAAAGCCAGGGUCUCGAACCGGAUUAGAAACCCCGGUAGUCC